This 375-nucleotide ribosomal RNA is filed under the name uncultured Actinomycetes bacterium. Its description in RNAcentral is "bacterial SSU rRNA". It matches the Rfam family "Bacterial small subunit ribosomal RNA", at positions 9 to 380 of the family's 1533-position model. The record is from RNAcentral. Lineage: Bacteria; Bacillati; Actinomycetota; Actinomycetes.
GAGUUUGAUCGUGGCUCAGGACGAACGCUGGCGGCGUGCUUAACACAUGCAAGUCGAGCGGAAAGGCCCUUCGGGGUACUCGAGCGGCGAACGGGUGAGUAACACGUGAGUAACCCUGCCCCAGGGCUUUGGGAUAACCCUCGGAAACGGGGGCUAAUACCGGAUACUUCAUUCCGCGUGGCAUACACGUGGUUGUGGAAAAGUUUUUUCGGCUUGGGAUGGGCUCGCGGCCUAUCAGCUUGUUGGUGGGGUGAUGGCCUACCAAGGCGACGACGGGUAGCCGGCCUGAGAGGGCGGACCGGCCACACUGGGACUGAGACACGGCCCAGACUCCUACGGGAGGCAGCAGUGGGGAAUAUUGCACAAUGGGCGGAA